CUAUAUCCUUACUGGCUCUUGGGUCUGAUUUCCGCACGUCAAGAGCUGCUUGUGUCCUGGGAGGAGAGCGAGCCGUUCCCUGUGUCUGUCAGAGGAGUGAAGGUGCCAAAAUGCCGGCCCAGCUGGGCAGGCAACACGCUGCCAAAGAGAGGGGAAGGAGAACUCCCGUUCCUGCUUCUAGUAGUCCUUUCUGCUGGAGCCUUUCUCUGGAUAUUGGCAGCUUGGAAAAAUGACAGUCCUGCAGGAACUCACCGGUUUGCCUGGAGGGGAAGAGGCAGGAGCUGAAAAUGACAAUUAUUCGGCUCUCAAAUAAUAAUAGAAUAACAGAUACUGCUGUAUCUCCAUUCCCUAUUUGUUGCCAGGAAAUUGUGCAGCUGCCAAGAGAUGCAGUCGAGGAGGUGGUGGAACGCUCCACCUGGAUGCCCAGUUGGACUCUAAAAACCAUGGGUAUGUAGGCAGACAGCUUCACUACCCUCACCUUUGCCUCUGGCACUCCUCAAAGCCUGCCAAGCUGUGCUUUCUGUCAGAGUUUUCUCAUAGAGCUUUAGGACGGCUGAGGUCUGAACGGACAUUACAGACCAUCCCAGUCCAACUCCCUGCCGUUGGAUGACAGGGCUGCCACCCUUUCCAUCACGCUGCUCAGGGACCCCAUCCAACCCGGUCUCCAACGCCUCGAGGAAUGGGGAAUCCAUGGCUUCUCUGGGCAGCACAUUGCAGUGGGCAGGGUCAAGGAUUUCCUCCUGACGUCCCAUCUAAAUCUCCCCUCUCUGACAAUGGAAAAAGCCUUCACCUGUGCUCCCAGGGCUGACUGGCUCCUUUCCCCAGGCGCUCAAUCAGCGGUCAGAGAAGGAAGAUACGGCACAGAAGUCACGGGAUCUGGCUCACACUCUCUCUCUGGCAGCCAGGCAGAGGGGUGGGUGUGCUUCCAAGCCGUGCGCCUUCAUUCAAGUAGGCCUUUCAGUUUCAGAAACUUUCUCUAUUUUAUAUGAUUUAUUACCCUUACUUUCAAUUGGAUUGUAUUAUAUUGCAUUGUCUUGCAUUCUGAUACCAUAGUUAGUAAAGUAAGUUUUCCUCC
This 1075-nucleotide long non-coding RNA is filed under the name Gallus gallus (chicken). RNAcentral describes it as "lncRNA (ENSGALG00010000767.1)". The record is from RNAcentral. Lineage: Eukaryota; Metazoa; Chordata; Aves; Galliformes; Phasianidae.